This 976-nucleotide long non-coding RNA is filed under the name Equus caballus (horse). Its description in RNAcentral is "lncRNA (ENSECAG00000054392.1)". The record is from RNAcentral. Lineage: Eukaryota; Metazoa; Chordata; Mammalia; Perissodactyla; Equidae.
GGUGAGAGAAAGCCUCUCUCAGCAGGUGACCUAAAAGGAAAGAGGAAGGAGCCAGCCAUGAUGAUGUGGGGGAAGAGCAGAGGGAACGGCAAGCUCAAAGGCCCUGAGGUUUGCUGGCAGAACGGCAAAGGCCGAGGGCGAUGGUGCUGGAGAGCCAACUGACGUGGCAGUCAGGGGCCUGUUCACAGGGGGGCCUUGCAAGAAAUUUGGAUUUUAUUCUGAGGGUGACAAGUAGUAAUUCAACAGCUCUGAGUACGAGAGUGAGAUGACAGGAUUUAUUUUUUAAAAGGUCACUCCAGCUGCUAUGUGGAAAAUCAAUUCCAGGGAAACGGAAGCAAGGAAACCGGAAACUUCUUAAAUAGACGGAGUUCCCAAUCUCACACCCCCGAGAUUCUCAUUCUACCAAGCUGAGGAAUCUGCAUUUUGAGAAUCUCCAACGCUGGCCCGGUCUCAGUACGCAGUGCAUCUGGACUAAGCGUUAGCCUGCCCUCUGGUGGUGCCUGCCGACAUGUGCAUGUACAUGCGCCCAACGCCCAGGAAUAGGCGCUUGAAAAACUCACUGCUAGAAGGAAGGCUUCGGCUGCUUUCCAGUAAAUACAGCAGGUGGAGACACACACUGAAAAACUGCAACGCAGUCCACCUUGCUUUCAUUUGGCUCUUAGGAGAUUGCUGGGCACCCACAGUUAUUGAAACUAAGUUUGAUCGUAAUUUAUUUGUGAUGAUUCAUAUUUCCUGCUUGUUUUUAAUUCUUGAAAAAUGUUAAGAUCUGGAGAUUUCAAGCAUAUACAGUUUCUAAAUCCGUUGACUCCACCCCCACAUCAUUCAUUCGUAUUAAAUACCUACCAUGUGCAGAGAUUCAGGGUGAGAUGGUGGUGCAAAGGUUGGUAAGACAGACUCCAUCCUUAAAACUCACCCUCUGAUUGGGGAGAAGACAUAUUUGGACAUAAUUACAAUAUAUGGCGAUGGUAUAAACAGA